RNAcentral lists this unclassified non-coding RNA (194 nucleotides) under uncultured Lactarius. RNAcentral describes it as "sequence contains ITS1". The record is from RNAcentral. Lineage: Eukaryota; Fungi; Basidiomycota; Agaricomycetes; Russulales; Russulaceae.
UCGAAAUUAUAGGCGUUCGGGGCUGUCGCCGACCUUUCGAGGUCGUGCACGCCUCGAUCGUUCUCGUUUUACACAUCCAUCUCACCCUUUGUGCAUCACCGCGUGGGCCCACCCCUAAAAAGGUGCGGCCUGCGUUAUUUUACACACAAACCUAGUCGUAGUGAAUGUCUUUACUUUUGCUAUUGCAAUCAGUA